RNAcentral lists this ribosomal RNA (79 nucleotides) under Paenibacillus pinisoli. RNAcentral describes it as "partial 16S ribosomal RNA". It matches the Rfam family "Bacterial small subunit ribosomal RNA", at positions 1462 to 1533 of the family's 1533-position model. Lineage: Bacteria; Bacillati; Bacillota; Bacilli; Caryophanales; Paenibacillaceae. The record is from RNAcentral.
GUGGGGUAGAUGAUUGGGGUGAAGUCGUAACAAGGUAGCCGUAUCGGAAGGUGCGGCUGGAUCACCUCCUUUCUAAGGA